Molecule: long non-coding RNA, 265 nt
Organism: Poecilia latipinna (sailfin molly)
Lineage: Eukaryota; Metazoa; Chordata; Actinopteri; Cyprinodontiformes; Poeciliidae
Exons: 3
Source: RefSeq, a predicted model, not a curated record
CUUCUUUCAUACCUCCCUGAUUGAUUGGAGGUCCAUCUUUCCUCAGUCCAUCUUUCUUCGGACCUCCCUGAUUGAUUGAAGGUCUGUCUUUCUUCAGACCUCCCUGAUUGAUUGGAGGUCCAUCUUUCUUCAGACCUCCCUGAUUGAUUGGAGGUCCAUCUUUCUUCGGACCUCCCUGGUUGAUUGAAGGUCUGUCUUUCUUCAGACCUCCCUGGUUGAUUGGAGGUCCAUCUUUCUUCGGACCUCCUUGGUUGAUUGGAGGCCC